Nannospalax galili (Upper Galilee mountains blind mole rat) is the source of this 710-nucleotide long non-coding RNA. RefSeq lists it as uncharacterized. The transcript has 5 exons. NCBI's taxonomy places the organism in Eukaryota, Metazoa, Chordata, Mammalia, Rodentia, Spalacidae. The record is from RefSeq and is a predicted model, not a curated record.
AGAGCUGCUGGAAUUAUACCACGAUGAUUUCAGAGGAAAUGUCCUUCUCUAAACAUUCUGAUCCCAAGAUAAGGAGCAGCAUCGACAUUGGAUUAUAUCUGUGUGGAAGCUGGCUUAACAACACACGUUCUCAGUCAUAAAGAGCAAGAUUAGACUGUUUCCUGGUCAGUCUUUUCCUGGUCGUCCUGGUGAAAGGCACCCAUCAUCCAUAAGACAUCACUGGGUGCAUUAGCUCACUGAUCUGCGAUGGACAAGAUGGGCCUGAGUCUUAACGCAACGUGGAGCCCGUCAAAAAGCAGGGGACGAGAACCAGUCCAAUGAAGACAGCAGGAAAGACCAUGGCUAAUACAACAACAGAAUAUGCACCAGCAAGAGGGGAGAAAAGCCACCGCGAAGUAAAGAGUUCAAGCAAUCUUAAAAGUCAGCCAAUAAGCGGAAGGCAUCCGGAUCCAGUAAACAGUAGAACUGUUCCUGUGACAGACAGAGAUGUGAAACAAUGAAUCAGAGUUUCUUGAGAUGGCUCUUCCUACACACAGUGAAUCCUCUCCCUUUCUCUCUUGACAACACUGAGUACAUCAGGACGUGGAGUAUCACUGCCCAGCCCUGUCUUUGAGGAGCAGGACUCCUGGCUGAAGACGUGCUUUGAACAUGGGGGUUCUGGGCCCAACUGUGGAUGCUAACUGAACUGAUUUUAUCUGAGCAAAGACAAA